Molecule: non-coding RNA, 74 nt
Organism: Potamilus streckersoni
Lineage: Eukaryota; Metazoa; Mollusca; Bivalvia; Unionida; Unionidae
Source: the annotation of a GenBank genome assembly
AGCCAUGGUAACUAAGUUGGUAGAGUGUUGGACUCAUACCCCAGUGGUUGUAGGAUCAGUACCUGCCCAGGUCA